UAGUCUCAAGAGACAGUUCCACUCCAUG
This 28-nucleotide non-coding RNA is filed under the name Mus musculus (house mouse). The record is from RNAcentral. Lineage: Eukaryota; Metazoa; Chordata; Mammalia; Rodentia; Muridae.